Esox lucius (northern pike) is the source of this 1052-nucleotide long non-coding RNA. Lineage: Eukaryota; Metazoa; Chordata; Actinopteri; Esociformes; Esocidae. The record is from Ensembl.
CUCAAGGUCCAUUCUAAGUAGGUCAAUCCAGCAUCACUUUGAUUGGCUUUUUUACUUUGUUCCUCUACUGAGUAAAUAAUGUAAUUAAAGUUCUGUACUUAUGAGUAGAAAGAGCUUUACAAUUGUUCAGAAUGUGUUUAUUCAGGAUUACUCUGUUCCUGUGGCUGUGGCGUCUAAGUAGAACAUCUGAAGAGAACCAACUGAAAACAUUGACAACUGGAGAAGCACAUGUCAUUCAAUUCUGCCCCAAUCAUACAUUGAAUGACAUCAUGUCCGUUAUAUGUAAAAUAAGUGGGGGGCAGAAGUGUCAGGUAUCAUUACGGUUUGACCAAAAUUAUCCAGAUAGCAACUGUGACUCCAGGGUCACACUACAGACAGAGAAAGGUGAAGUGUUUCUACACAUCAGCAGCAUACAACCAUCUGAUGAAGGGAACUACACCUGUGAAUGUACAUAUAAUGGAGGAAGAGAUGUUUUAUAUCUUAAUAUUUCUGUCAAUGCAUCACAGGUGGUUGAGGAAACAGGCACUUCUGGAACUUUCUUUUCUCUGAUGAUAAUUGGCUUCACCGCAAUUGUAGCUGUAAUUUUCCUCACUGGCAUCAUCAUGAAGACAGUUAAAUUCAGCAGGAGAACGCAGCAAGAAGAGGAGCAUCAACUUGACACUGUGGGAUUUUACUCAACCCUACAAAUGCCACAUCCUCACCACUGACCCUGACAGCGUUGACCAAUGCCCUGGACUCACCUGCCCUGGACAUACAUCUCCAGCCAUACAGUACAAGAAGAUAAUCAAAGCAAUUCAUGGCAACUCAUUCUCUUAAAACAUUUGGUCCUUUAAAGUACCCUUUCUUGGAUCAGCAUCAGACCAAAAACCCAGGGAGAACCAUCUGGCCUGGGGCUGUAAAAGGGGGCCCUUAACCACAGCCUGGAUGUCACCUCUUGAUAUACAGUGGGGAGAACAAGUAUUUGAUACACUGCCGAUUUUGCAGGUUUCCCUACUUACAAAGCAUGUAGAGGUCUUUAAUUUUUAUCAUAGGUAAACUUCAACGGUGAGAGA